RNAcentral lists this ribosomal RNA (407 nucleotides) under Clostridioides difficile. Its description in RNAcentral is "bacterial SSU rRNA". It matches the Rfam family "Bacterial small subunit ribosomal RNA", at positions 167 to 592 of the family's 1533-position model. Lineage: Bacteria; Bacillati; Bacillota; Clostridia; Peptostreptococcales; Peptostreptococcaceae. The record is from RNAcentral.
UACGGGAUAAUAUAUUUGAGAGGCAUCUCUUAAAUAUCAAAGGUGAGCCAGUACAGGAUGGACCCGCGUCUGAUUAGCUAGUUGGUAAGGUAACGGCUUACCAAGGCGACGAUCAGUAGCCGACCUGAGAGGGUGAUCGGCCACAUUGGAACUGAGACACGGUCCAAACUCCUACGGGAGGCAGCAGUGGGGAAUAUUGCACAAUGGGCGAAAGCCUGAUGCAGCAACGCCGCGUGAGUGAUGAAGGCCUUCGGGUCGUAAAACUCUGUCCUCAAGGAAGAUAAUGACGGUACUUGAGGAGGAAGCCCCGGCUAACUACGUGCCAGCAGCCGCGGUAAUACGUAGGGGGCUAGCGUUAUCCGGAUUUACUGGGCGUAAAGGGUGCGUAGGCGGUCUUUCAAGUCAGG